AUGUCCCAGUAUGAAUCAUUCUGUGAUGUUUAGACUGUUCCAAUAGUAGCACUGCUUACAUCCCUUUCCCUAGAUGUACAUUAGUAAUGAAUGUGAUGAACAGUCAUUCCAAUAUGAUGUAUGGUAUUUCAUUAAAUUAUGUAAUGAGACAGAAAUUCAAUGAACAAUAAUAACUAAUGCAUUCUGUUUUACAUGAUCAUUAUUCAUGACUCUCCAUCUUGGAUAAUGGAUGAUCAGCAAGACUAUUAGACUCAGGAUCAGAGUAUUUACAACGUGAGACCCAGGAGGACAAGCUGAAGAGGGAGGCAUCAGCUGGUGAGCUUGAGUUGAAGAUGGAAAAAGAAUUAAAAGAGAAAUUAAGACAGAAGAUGAUGAAACAACUAGAGGAGAAAGACACACAACUGGAUGAUAUGACCCAGGAAGUGAGAGAGAAAGACACACAACUGGAUGAUAUGACCCAGGAAGUGAGAGAGAAAGAGAGACUCCUGGAUGAUAUGACCCAGGAAGUGAGAGAGAAAGAGAGACUCCUGGAGGAGAAGAACCAGAUAAUGGAACAGAGGGACAAACAAUUAGAAGAGAAAGAAAACCAACUGGAAGAGAAAGACAAGCAACUAAAGGAUAGAGACAUUCAACUAGAGGCUCUGAGAAAGAACCUGCAGGACAAGAACAGCAAAGUAGAGAACUUCAGAGUCCUACUGCAGGAAAAAGACCUUCAACUAGAGGACAGGAACCACAGACUGGGAGAGAAGGACAGACUACUGGAAGAGAGAGACAAACUACUGCGGGAAAAAGACCUUCAACUAGAGGACAGAGACCACAGACUGGGAGAGAAGGACAGACUACUGGAAGAGAGAGACAAACUACUGCAGGA
This is a long non-coding RNA of Oncorhynchus gorbuscha (pink salmon), 871 nucleotides long. RefSeq lists it as uncharacterized. NCBI's taxonomy places the organism in Eukaryota, Metazoa, Chordata, Actinopteri, Salmoniformes, Salmonidae. The record is from RefSeq and is a predicted model, not a curated record. The transcript has 4 exons.